AAGUCGUAACAAGGUUUCCGUAGGUGAACCUGCGGAAGGAUCAUUCGCAAUAAAUGGGUUUUUUAUAAUUCAUAGAAGAAAAAAAAAAUCCUUUACCACCUUGAGUGCAAUGUAUGAGAAAAGGGGCCAUUUGGCUUGUCUGAAAUAAACAUAUUCUUUGAAUAACUUAAUUCAAUAAUACAACUUUCAACAACGGAUCUCUUGGCUCUC
RNAcentral lists this unclassified non-coding RNA (210 nucleotides) under fungal sp. RNAcentral describes it as "partial internal transcribed spacer region". The stretch from base 1 to 46 matches the Rfam family "Eukaryotic small subunit ribosomal RNA", at positions 1786 to 1831 of the family's 1831-position model. Lineage: Eukaryota; Fungi. The record is from RNAcentral.